Non-coding RNA from Salvia hispanica, 229 nucleotides. The record is from RefSeq and is a predicted model, not a curated record. Lineage: Eukaryota; Viridiplantae; Streptophyta; Magnoliopsida; Lamiales; Lamiaceae.
AAGGCGACACAAAAUUUCUCGAGUCUUUGCUUAAAGCUGGAGCAGAUCCAAAUUUAGCUGAAAAUGUUAUCUAUAGACCUAUUGAGGAAGCUGCAUUGGUGCAUAACCGUGCAGGUGUGGAGAUUUUGUUUCCAGUGACUAAACAGAUUACACAUUUCCCAAAUUGGACUGUCGAUGGCAUAAUCGAGUACGUUCAUUCUGAAGAAUUUACAAUAAUGAGUACGGCGAA